UAGUCCACGCCGUAAACGAUGGAUACUAGAUGUUGCGCGUAUCGAUCCGUGCAGUAUCGUAGCUAACGCGUUAAGUAUCCCGCCUGGGGAGUACGGCCGCAAGGUUAAAACUCAAAUGAAUUGACGGGGGCCCGCACAAGCGGUGGAGCAUGUGGUUUAAUUCGAUGCAACGCGAAGAACCUUACCUACUCUUGACAUCUACAGAAGCCAGCGGAGACGCAGGUGUGCCUUCGGGAACUGUAAGACAGGUGCUGCAUGGCUGUCGUCAGCUCGUGUUGUGAAAUGUUGGGUUAAGUCCCGCAACGAGUGCAACCCUUAUCCUUGUUUGCCAGCACGUAAUGGUGGGAACUCCAGGGAGACUGCCGGUGACAAACCGGAGGAAGGUAAGGAUGACGUCAAGUCAGCAUGCCCCUUACGCCCUGGGCUACACACGUGCUACAAUGGUCGUGACAAAGGGUCGCUAAUCUGCAAAGACAUGCUAAUCUCAUAAACACGGCCU
Molecule: ribosomal RNA, 499 nt
Filed under: uncultured bacterium
Lineage: Bacteria
Description: bacterial SSU rRNA
Rfam family: Bacterial small subunit ribosomal RNA
Source: RNAcentral